Long non-coding RNA from Hordeum vulgare subsp. vulgare (domesticated barley), 347 nucleotides. RefSeq lists it as uncharacterized. NCBI's taxonomy places the organism in Eukaryota, Viridiplantae, Streptophyta, Magnoliopsida, Poales, Poaceae. The record is from RefSeq and is a predicted model, not a curated record. The transcript is spliced from 2 exons.
GGAAACUUGCGUCCACUGCAAGGAGAAAGGGCACUACAAGAAGGAUUGCCCUGUUUUUCUAAAGACCUUCAUGGCUAAGAGAGUUCGACGAUAACUUUGCCAAGAAAUUCAAGAGGAAUUGAAGUUGCGAACGGUGUCCAAGCCGAAGUUGAAGCUGUGGGUGAAGUCUCCUUGGAGCUAGCCGGUGGUUUCAAACUUCUGCUUAGGGAUGUGCUUUUCGUACCUUCAUGUAAUAGGAACUUAAUAAGUGUUUCCUGUUUAGACAAAGACGAUUAUCAAUGUUUCUUUGGACAUGGCAAAUGUGCCAUUUGGUCUCAUAAUGAUUAUGUUGGGGAUGCAUUUCUUCA